This 793-nucleotide long non-coding RNA is filed under the name Homo sapiens (human). Its description in RNAcentral is "HSALNT0019685". Lineage: Eukaryota; Metazoa; Chordata; Mammalia; Primates; Hominidae. The record is from RNAcentral.
GGAUGAUAACAAUCUCAGAGACUACUGCAGAAAUGUGAGUGGCCCAAAUCAAAGCUGUGGCAAUGGAAGCAGAGGAGGAUGGAAACUAGAGUCCAUGUUGGCCUUACAAGUCUUCUCUGAAUAUUCCAGAAACUAAUAGUUAAGAUUCUUUCAAAAAGGAGUAAAGCAGAGACAUUCAAAGAUGAACAGCAAUUCUGAAUGGAAAGAGGCCAGCUGUAAAACGUCAUAGAAGACCUGCAGUAGAGAUACAAUCCUGAGAAGAAUAUUUAGCAAGAAUGGGGUUUCAGAUUUCUGGUAUUUCCAUAUGGGUGGAGAUUGAAGAAAAAAAAGAAAAGAGCAAAAGUUUUCUCAUAAUGUUUUGCAACUUCUGCUUCCGGGCCCAGUCAGAGCCCAAAAGCAGCAAGAGAAGUAAAAUGAAAACACUGAACAUUUUUUUUGUUUUGUUUUGUUUUAAAUAAUAAUUAAUUUUCACUCACAAAACUGAGUAUACUUAAUUCAGGUAUGUUUGAGAUUUCAAAUGAAUAUCUAUAGUGAAUGCAUUUUUAUUUAAAAGGAGAAAAUGGUUUAUUCUUGACAUCCUUUCUUAGCUUAGAGAGAAAUAAAAUCUUCAGAAAAUAGUGGUGGCUUACAAAAGUUGGAUUUUUUUAAAGGAAUAAAAUGGAAAGCACGAGUAAUCUGAUGAUAAUAUUCAAUAACAGAAAAAGUUCUUGCCACUAACACUUUAUCAACUAUAAACAUAAAAACCUACUUUCUUAAAGAUUAAUUAUCUACACUGUGAUCAGCAUAAAUGCAC